UACGUAGGGGGCUAGCGUUGCUCGGAAUUACUGGGCGUAAAGAGUGUGUAGGCGGUGCUCUAAGUUUGGUGUGAAAUCUCCCGGCUUAACUGGGAGGGUGCGCCGAAAACUGGAAUGCUUGUACGUGGGAGAGGAAAGCGGAAUUCCUGGUGUAGCGGUGAAAUGCGUAGAUAUCAGGAGGAACACCUGCGGUGUAGACGGCUUUCUGGACCAUUGUUGACGCUGAGACACGAAAGCGUGGGUAGCAAACAG
RNAcentral lists this ribosomal RNA (252 nucleotides) under uncultured bacterium. RNAcentral describes it as "partial 16S ribosomal RNA". It matches the Rfam family "Bacterial small subunit ribosomal RNA", at positions 524 to 775 of the family's 1533-position model. The record is from RNAcentral.